CGGGGUGCAGCAGGCGCGAAACCUUUACAAUGCUGGCAACAGCGAUAGGGGGACCUCGAGCGCCAGGUUACAAAUCUGGCUGUCGUUGUGUCUAAAAAACACGAUAUAGCAAGGGCCGGGCAAGACCGGUGCCAGCCGCCGCGGUAACACCGGCGGCUCGAGUGGUAACCGUUAUUAUUGGGUUUAAAGGGUCUGUAGCCGGCCUGGUUAGUCCUUUGGGAAAUCCGGCAGCUCAACUGUCGGGCUUUCAGAGGAUACUGCCAGGCUCGAGACCGGGAGAGGUAAGAGGUACUUCAGGGGUAGGGGUGAAAUCUUGUAAUCCUUGAAGGACCACCAGUGGCGAAGGCGUCUUACCAGAACGGAUCUGACGGCAAGGGACGAAAGCUAGGGGCACGAACCGGAUUAGAUACCCGGGUAGUCCUAGCCGUAAACGAUACUCGCUAGGUGUCGGCCACGGUGCGACCGUGGUCGGUGCCGUAGGGAAACCGUGAAGCGAGCCACCUGGGAAGUACGGCCGCAAGGCUGAAACUUAAAGGAAUUGGCGGGGGAGCACAAGGGCGAAUAGCGGC
Molecule: ribosomal RNA, 569 nt
Filed under: uncultured archaeon
Lineage: Archaea
Description: bacterial SSU rRNA
Rfam family: Archaeal small subunit ribosomal RNA
Source: RNAcentral